AGUGAUGCGGUUUAAUGCCACUCCCUCACUAAAAACCCUGAUCUUUUCCCUGUACAUGAGAUGUGGUGUCUCUCUUGAUACAGACUCUCACUGAAGGAAGCAGUGUUUCUCCUGCAGCAGAGCAAACCUGGAGGAUGUCUCCAGCUGUGAUCGGAUUUCUUCUCAUCCUGCUGCCAUAUCGAGCUAAGAGCGUGACGUUUCAGCCGUCUCAUCCAAGAAUAAUCAACGAAAAGGCCAGGGUAGAAAUUAAAUGCAGUCACGAUGAUAGCAACCUCUAUGUAAUGCUCUGGUACCAACAAAAAGAGAGGGGUUUGAUGAGCUUGAUUGGAUACAGCUACUGGGGCAGUGACCCCAGCUAUGAGAAGCAGGUUGAAGGUCGGUUUGACAUUACAAGACAAGUCAUCCAAACAGGAGCUCUGAUCAUUCACAGUGUGAAUCCAUCAGACUCAGCUGUGUAUUUCUGCGCUGCCAGUACACAGUGAUGUGGUUUAAUGUCACCCCAUCACU
Siniperca chuatsi (mandarin fish) is the source of this 507-nucleotide non-coding RNA. The record is from the annotation of a RefSeq genome assembly. NCBI's taxonomy places the organism in Eukaryota, Metazoa, Chordata, Actinopteri, Centrarchiformes, Sinipercidae.